RNAcentral lists this long non-coding RNA (968 nucleotides) under Marmota monax (woodchuck). Lineage: Eukaryota; Metazoa; Chordata; Mammalia; Rodentia; Sciuridae. The record is from RNAcentral.
GGGUUGCUAGGGAUUGAACCCAGGAUUUUGUGCAUGCAAGGCAAGCACUCUACCAACUGAGCUAUAUUCCCCAGCUCCAGGAACCUCCAUCUUUUUUCCUUAAGGCCUUCAACUGUGUGGAUAAGGCCUACCAACGUUACAGAGUGUCAUCUACCAACAUUACAGAGUGUUAUCUACAUAAUAGUAACUGAUUUAAAUGCCAAUUGCAUCUAAAAAAUACCUUUGCACAAACAAAACUGGUGUCAACAAAUAUCUGGGUAUGGUGGCACAACCAAAUUGACAUGUAAAAUUAAUCACCAAAGCUAAUUCAAGAAUUCGACAACCUUAGGUACCUGAAUAAAGAGAAGGCUAAGUUCCCCUGAUCUUGCUCCAUACUAAAUUGGAGCUGGGGUUUUAGGAAGCCUGCAUAUUCUCCUGGCAAAAGAGAGGGGUGAGACCACUAUGGCACUUUUCUGUUGCAUUGCAGCCUUUAAAACUUUAAUACAAUGAAUCAAAGAAAAUUGUCAUAACAAAUAUCUAGAUAUCUUUUAAUGGUUUUCUCCAAGGAAGAAAAGGUAUCUUGUAUCUUGUUGGUUUUUCUAAUCCCAAGACCAAUUCUUUUGUUUAAUAAUUCAAGAAAUUGAAAGUAAUAUCUUGUGUUCCUCACGACUAAAACACUCAGGGUCACUCCGGGUGAACUGGGCUGCACAAAAUCACACAAGAGAUACUUUUUUCUUUUGGUCCUGGACGGCUCCUCUGAACUUAAGGGUCUGCAGAAAUAGAGAGCAAGAGAGCACAUGCUGAACCCCUUUUUUGAGGAGAAGCCAUUCAAAUGAGGGAAGGGAUCAGGUUUCAGGGGGUUGAGUCUAGCUUCCUGAUGUCUGCUGUCAGCAGGUUGAUUGACAUCUAGGAAGGUCAAACCCAAAGACAGAGCAAGAGAAGGGAACACACAAAAGGCAUUUCCAUGGAACAUUCUAUCCCAAACCAGG